Molecule: ribosomal RNA, 789 nt
Filed under: uncultured bacterium
Lineage: Bacteria
Description: bacterial SSU rRNA
Rfam family: Bacterial small subunit ribosomal RNA
Source: RNAcentral
AGAGGGUGAUUCUGGCUCAGGACGAACGCUGGCGGCGCGCCUAACACAUGCAAGUCGAACGAGAGAGAGGGAGCUUGCUUCCUCAAUCGAGUGGCGAACGGGUGAGUAACGCGUGAGGAACCUGCCUCAAAGAGGGGGACAACAGUUGGAAACGACUGCUAAUACCGCAUAAGCCCACGGGUCGGCAUCGACCAGAGGGAAAAGGAGCAAUCCGCUUUGAGAUGGCCUCGCGUCCGAUUAGCUAGUUGGUGAGGUAACGGCCCACCAAGGCGACGAUCGGUAGCCGGACUGAGAGGUUGAACGGCCACAUUGGGACUGAGACACGGCCCAGACUCCUACGGGAGGCAGCAGUGGGGAAUAUUGCACAAUGGGGGAAACCCUGAUGCAGCGACGCCGCGUGGAGGAAGAAGGUCUUCGGAUUGUAAACUCCUGUUGUUGAGGAAGAUAAUGACGGUACUCAACAAGGAAGUGACGGCUAACUACGUGCCAGCAGCCGCGGUAAAACGUAGGUCAUAAGCGUUGUCCGGAAUUACUGGGUGUAAAGGGAGCGCAGGCGGGAAGACAAGUUGGAAGUGAAAUCUAUGGGCUCAACCCAUAAACUGCUUUCAAAACUGUUUUUCUUGAGUAGUGCAGAGGUAGGCGGAAUUCCCGGUGUAGCGGUGGAAUGCGUAGAUAUCGGGAGGAACACCAGUGGCGAAGGCGGCCUACUGGGCACCAACUGACGCUGAGGCUCGAAAGUGUGGGUAGCAAACAGGAUUAGAUACCCUGGUAGUCCACACCGUAAACGAC